This 253-nucleotide ribosomal RNA is filed under the name uncultured bacterium. RNAcentral describes it as "partial 16S ribosomal RNA". It matches the Rfam family "Bacterial small subunit ribosomal RNA", at positions 524 to 776 of the family's 1533-position model. The record is from RNAcentral.
GACGUAGGGGGCCAGCGUUGCUCGGAAUUACUGGGCGUAAAGGGUUCGUAGGCGGUGUGGCAAGUCGGAAGUGAAAUCUCUGGGCUUAACUCAGAGGCUGCUUCCGAAACUGCCGUGCUAGAGUGCGGGAGAGGCGAGUGGAAUUGCAGGUGUAGCGGUGAAAUGCGUAGAUAUCUGCAGGAACACCCGUGGCGAAGGCGGCUCGCUGGACCGCAACUGACGCUGAGGAACGAAAGCUAGGGGAGCAAACAGG